Molecule: long non-coding RNA, 141 nt
Organism: Strigops habroptila (Kakapo)
Lineage: Eukaryota; Metazoa; Chordata; Aves; Psittaciformes; Psittacidae
Exons: 3
Source: RefSeq, a predicted model, not a curated record
GAGUGAGCGGCUAAGCCCAGGAGCUAUCAGGGCUUAUAGAGAGAGCUUUAAACUAGGUUUGAAGGGGGAAGGGGAUAACACCAGGCUCACUAGACAUAAGCCAUGGGGUAGCGUGCCGCUGCUGGAGUCCAGAUCCACAGG